RNAcentral lists this non-coding RNA (90 nucleotides) under Asticcacaulis biprosthecium. RNAcentral's name for it is "Asticcacaulis biprosthecum Glycine sequence". It matches the Rfam family "Glycine riboswitch aptamer". From Rfam's summary of the family: This family represents the bacterial glycine riboswitch. Glycine riboswitches usually consist of two metabolite-binding aptamers domains with similar structures in tandem. The record is from RNAcentral. Lineage: Bacteria; Pseudomonadati; Pseudomonadota; Alphaproteobacteria; Caulobacterales; Caulobacteraceae.
UUCGCUCAUGCGGGAGAGAUCGGAUUCUUCCCCGACGCCGAAGGCGCAACCGCCCCGGAAACGCUCAGGCAAACGGACCGCAUCGAGCCA